Molecule: ribosomal RNA, 497 nt
Filed under: uncultured bacterium
Lineage: Bacteria
Description: partial 16S ribosomal RNA
Rfam family: Bacterial small subunit ribosomal RNA
Source: RNAcentral
GAUGAACGCUGGCGGCGUGCCUAAUACAUGCAAGUCGAGCGAACAGACGAGGAGCUUGCUCCUCUGACGUUAGCGGCGGACGGGUGAGUAACACGUGGAUAACCUACCUAUAAGACUGGGAUAACUUCGGGAAACCGGAGCUAAUACCGGAGAAUAUAUUGAACCGCAUGGUUCAAUAGUGAAAGACGGUUUUGCUGUCACUUAUAGAUGGAUCCGCGCCGCAUUAGCUAGUUGGUAAGGUAACGGCUUACCAAGGCAACGAUGCGUAGCCGACCUGAGAGGGUGUUCGGCCACACUGGAGCUGAGACACGGUCCAGACUCCUACGGGAGGCAGCAGUAGGGAAUCUUCCGCAAUGGGCGAAAGCCUGACGGAGCAACGCCGCGUGAGUGAUGAAGGUCUUCGGAUCGUAAAACUCUGUUAUUAGGGAAGAACAAAUGUGUAAGUAACUAUGCACGUCUUGACGGUACCUAAUCAGAAAGCCACGGCUAACUACGUG